AACGAACGCUGGCGGCAUGCCUAACACAUGCAAGUCGAACGAGACCUCCGGGUCUAGUGGCGCAUGGGUGCGUCACGCGUGGGAACCUGCACUUAGGUUUCGAAUAACUCUCCGAAAGGGGUGCUAACAUCGGAUAAUGUCUUCUGACAAAAGAUUUAUCGUCUUUGGAUGGGCGCGCGUUGGAUUAGCUAGUUGGUAGGGUAAAAGCCUACAAAGGCGACGAUCCAUAGCUGGUCUGAGAGGAUGAUCAGCCACACUGCGACGGGGACAAGGCGCAGACUCCUACGAAAGGCAGCAGUGGGGAAUAUGGGAUACUGGGCGAGAGCCGGAGCCAGCAAUGCCGCGUAAGUGAUGAAGGCGUUAGGAUAAUAAGGCUCUUUUACCCGGGAUGAUAAGAACGGAACCGAGAGAAAAGGCUCGGGCAAACUCGGU
RNAcentral lists this ribosomal RNA (432 nucleotides) under uncultured bacterium. RNAcentral's name for it is "partial 16S ribosomal RNA". It matches the Rfam family "Bacterial small subunit ribosomal RNA", at positions 29 to 506 of the family's 1533-position model. The record is from RNAcentral.